This 305-nucleotide ribosomal RNA is filed under the name uncultured bacterium. RNAcentral's name for it is "bacterial SSU rRNA". It matches the Rfam family "Bacterial small subunit ribosomal RNA", at positions 333 to 656 of the family's 1533-position model. The record is from RNAcentral.
UCCGGCCUACGGGGCGCAGCAGUGGGGAAUAUUGCACAAUGGGGGAAACCCUGAUGCAGCAACGCCGCGUGAGUGAUGACGGCCUUCGGGUUGUAAAGCUCUGUCUUCAGGGACGAUAAUGACGGUACCCAAAGAGGAAGCUCCGGCUAACUACGUGCCAGCAGCCGCGGUAAUACGUAGGGAGCGAGCGUUGUCCGGAAUUACUGGGUGUAAAGGGAGCGUAGGCGGGCGAGAAAGUUGAAUGUUAAAUCUACCGGCUUAACUGGUAGCUGCGUUCAAAACUUCUUGUCUUGAGUGAAGUAGAG